AGCUUACUAAUAGGGGUCUUUGUUGUCUUUGUUCGUUCGUUCGCCGUUGGGGCUAGAGAAAAUCCCAGUUUCGAAUCGCACUAAGCCCAAGUAGAGCUAACGAGAGUCGCCUUGGUCCAUGAAGGAAAAGCUCAAGGUCUAGCUCUAUCUCCUUGCUCGUUUCACUCCUUUCCGUGAAGAGCACAGUAGGCACCAAGUCGCAGUGACAACGCCUUCCAGCGUUAGUCCUCCGGUAAUUAAGCAAGAACAAAAUCUCAUUCAUCGGAGGGAGCGUGGAUUGUUUUCAA
RNAcentral lists this long non-coding RNA (287 nucleotides) under Actinidia chinensis (golden kiwifruit). RNAcentral's name for it is "long non-coding RNA (ACHI_LNC000096)". Lineage: Eukaryota; Viridiplantae; Streptophyta; Magnoliopsida; Ericales; Actinidiaceae. The record is from RNAcentral.